This 103-nucleotide ribosomal RNA is filed under the name Parupeneus sp. KBF-I 1058. RNAcentral describes it as "partial 16S ribosomal RNA". Lineage: Eukaryota; Metazoa; Chordata; Actinopteri; Syngnathiformes; Mullidae. The record is from RNAcentral.
AGCCCUACAACUAGCCCGCAAAAAUAAAAGCAACAUACCACUAAAAUAACCCCGAAUGGUCUCAACACCUAGCAAACAAACCAUUUUUCCCCCUUAGUAUGGG